RNAcentral lists this ribosomal RNA (253 nucleotides) under uncultured bacterium. RNAcentral describes it as "partial 16S ribosomal RNA". It matches the Rfam family "Bacterial small subunit ribosomal RNA", at positions 524 to 776 of the family's 1533-position model. The record is from RNAcentral.
UACGUAGGGUGCAAGCGUUAAUCGGAAUUACUGGGCGUAAAGCGUGCGCAGGCGGUGAUGUAAGACAGGUGUGAAAUCCCCGGGCUUAACCUGGGAACUGCAUUUGUGACUGCAUCGCUGGAGUGCGGCAGAGGGAGAUGGAAUUCCGCGUGUAGCAGUGAAAUGCGUAGAUAUGCGGAGGAACACCGAUGGCGAAGGCAAUCCCCUGGGCCUGCACUGACGCUCAUGCACGAAAGCGUGGGGAGCAAACAGG